GACGAACGCUGGCGGCGUGCUUAACACAUGCAAGUCGAACGGAAAGGCCCUGCUUUUGUGGGGUGCUCGAGUGGCGAACGGGUGAGUAACACGUGAGUAACCUGCCCUUGACUUUGGGAUAACUUCAGGAAAUGGGGCUAAUACCGGGUAGGAGCUCCUGCUGGAUGGUGGGGGUUGGAAAGUUUUGGCGGUUUGGGUUGGACUCGCGGGUUUUCAGCUUGUUGGUGGGGUAGUGGCUUACCAAGGCUUUGACGGGUAGCCGGCCUGAGAGGGUGACCGGCCACAUUGGGACUGAGAUACGGCCCAGACUCCUACGGGAGGCAGCAGUGGGGAAUAUUGCACAAUGGGCGGAAGCCUGAUGCAGCAACGCCGCGUGCGGGAUGACGGCCUUCGGGUUGUAAACCGCUUUCGCCUGUGACGAAGCGUGAGUGACGGUAAUGGGUAAAGAAGCACCGGCUAACUACGUG
Molecule: ribosomal RNA, 467 nt
Filed under: uncultured bacterium
Lineage: Bacteria
Description: partial 16S ribosomal RNA
Rfam family: Bacterial small subunit ribosomal RNA
Source: RNAcentral